This 466-nucleotide ribosomal RNA is filed under the name uncultured bacterium. RNAcentral's name for it is "partial 16S ribosomal RNA". It matches the Rfam family "Bacterial small subunit ribosomal RNA", at positions 28 to 507 of the family's 1533-position model. The record is from RNAcentral.
GAUGAACGCUGGCGGCGUGCCUAAUACAUGCAAGUCGAACGGAAAGGCUCGUGCUUGCAGUGGUAGUUGAGUGGCGAACGGGUGAGUAACACGUGGGUAAUCUGCCCUGCACUGCGGGAUAACCCUUGGAAACGAGGGCUAAUACCGCAUAACACCAUGUUUCGCAUGCCAUUUUUGAAAGAUUGUUAGCUGUGGGAUGACCUCGAGGCCUAUCGGCGUGUUGGUGGGGUAAUGGCGUACCAACGCGUCGACGGGUCGCCGGCCUGAGAGGGUGAACGGGCACAGUGGGACUGAGGUACGGCCCAGACGCCUACGGGAGGCAGGGGCGGAAAAUAUUGCGAAAUAGGCGCAAGCCUGAUGGAGCGAUGUCGGGUCGGGGAUGACGGUCUUCGGGUUGUAAACACCUUUCGAUAGGGACGAACAGAAAGUGACGGUACCUGGAGAGAAAGCACCGGCUAACUACGUG